AUAAAACUGUAGUACACUGCUGUCAUAUAAGUUAAGCUGAACUGAUAUCAACCUCUGUUGACAUUUCUGCUUGUGCCUUAGGAACAGCCGUCAUUAUUAUUGGACACACGCCUAACCUGGGUGGCUUGCCCUUUAGUAACGUCAAUUCAGCUGUAACGAUUUUCUGAGCGUGGACAGUUUUUUCUUUUGUUUGGUGACUGAAACUGCUACUUUCCUUACAGAUCAGUGUUGUCUUUUUUUCUACCAGCCUGCAAUUUGAUAUGAAUUCUAUGCAGAUUAAACCAGCUUUAAUAGUGGCUGAUAAAUAUUGGUCAAUCAAAUUUGCUGUGAAUAAAGCCGGCAGUAAAGCCGGAGAUAUUUUGGAUGCUUUUCUAAGCUUCACUGUGAUAGCGAUCUUUGUGGAUGCCAGCUGGCUGCAGGAAUGUAAAGCAAAGUGAUGUAUUUUGGAAACCCUAAGAACUAGCUGUUUUCUGUGGGUACAGGGCAGCUACAUCCCUGUUGGCAGCAAAGUAGAGUUGUAUUUAGCCUGCUACAGAGCAGUAUGUGCCUAUGGCACAGCUCAACUCAGGCAGAGGUUUGGGAGGCUAAUACUUGGAGAUUUUUUUUUAUUUCUAUUUUUUUUUAAGGUGAGUAAAAGCGUGUUUCUAGCCCCUCUUGUUCCCUUGUUGCAAUGAAAAGCAACAAAAACAACCUCUGCUGAAAUGUGGAGACAUCUCAGCAUUCAGAAGCUGGAGGCAAUAGCUGGAAAGGUGGGAGCAGCCCCCUGCAUGCUUGGGUUAGUGCUGCGAUGCCUGUAAGGUGCUGCUGCCGCCGCUCACCCACAGCGCUGUGUAUGCAAGACCUGAAAAAGAAAGGAUGGAGGAUGGCCACGGACCCAGCUGCACGGCCAGGGGGUGAAAGGAAAAAUCCUGGACAGUGGUUAAGUAAUUAGGUGGUAGUGAUGAGAAGGCAGCAUGAUGAAAAGCAAGAAUUGCCUCAGUGGUCUGCCAGAGGCAGCCCCAAGCUGUUGCUCCUCUCCAUGACCUGUUUGCUCUCCGUUCUGGCUGGCUGUGUCCUCUCCCCUGCUGAGAGAGUCCGGGGGCCCUCCAAGACCCCGACCAACAUGCACCUUCCCUCAGCAGGAAGCCUCACCCCAGGUAACGCUGAUUCGGGGGGAUGGGCCAGCCUGGGUUUUCCCGCUGUACCUCGUUUUCCCUUCCUUCCCUUCUGGCUUGGCGUGUAACCGGAGGCUGGCCCGGUGCUCUCGGGCUUCGGAGCGAAGCUUUCAGCGUAGAGCUUUGAUCUGGCUCCAGGGCACCUUCCCACCGGGACGCGUCUCCGGCACCAACCGCAGCUUUGUCGCAGGAGCUCUGCCGUGCUGCCUGGCUGUGGCUGGCUGCCCUGAGCAAAGGUGCGCCUUCGGUCCAUGGGUGCCGUGUAUCAUUUCAUACACUUCCUUUGAAUUAAAGUGAAAUGAAAAGUGAAAAGCAAUUACAUUCACCAAAGAGUACUAUUGGUAUGAUUGACCAAAUUCUUUCCCUGGUCUUGGGAGAAGGCAUGGGUUUUGUACCCUGAAGUAGGAUUGUGCCCUCUAAAUUUUAGCCAUGUAAAGGUGAGGUAACUAGUGUAGGAGUCAUCUUUACUUCACCUAGGGUUAACGGAGAGAAAAUGUCAUCUCCAGCAAACACCAUGUUCCGCUUAACUAGGACGGGGUGAAAUGCCCUUUGCUGUCCUAGCCUGAGGGAGCCCAGGUAGCCAGCUGAAGCGUGGGUGUUCUCAGUAUCUGAAGUCAUGUAAGAUGGAGCCCACCGGAAGAAAUCCCAGUCUAAAUCUGCAAACUCAGCCUAAGGUGCAAACGCACUUAGCACACCAAAUAAGCUUCAUGAAAGUGUAGGCAUCUGUGUAGCAUCAUCAUCAAAAAUCUUCCUGGAAGAGGUUUAGAAAAGGAUUUGAUAGAGCAAAGGUAAUCGUUUGAUACGUGAGAAGAGGAGAGCGGUUCUGGCACACUCUAACAGAGAUGGAAUUAUUGCAUCCACCCCUCCUGCUACCUCCACCCCCAAAAUCUGAAAACUUCCUGAUUUGUGUUCAUCAAUAAUUAAAAGCCCAUCAGCAAUACUCAGAGGGAGCUUGCAUUGCACUUCUGAGCAGCCAGAUAGUAAUGUACGGUGGAGAGAUCCUCUUUUUCAAAUCCCAGGGCUCCAGGCCAUGCAAUGCUAGUAUUGCAUUUUCAAUUAGCUUCUGAGUGAACGCUUGGCAUAUGUAGAAAUGAACCGGUACACAAUUAGCUUAUUGUUCCUUUCAGCUUUGUGCUGAGAGGAUCUGAAGGGCUGCAGAAGAGAGGGGAGAGGGGGGGGAAAAAGAAAAAAUAGCCA
This is a long non-coding RNA of Falco tinnunculus (common kestrel), 2351 nucleotides long. The record is from Ensembl. NCBI's taxonomy places the organism in Eukaryota, Metazoa, Chordata, Aves, Falconiformes, Falconidae.